RNAcentral lists this ribosomal RNA (460 nucleotides) under uncultured bacterium. RNAcentral's name for it is "partial 16S ribosomal RNA". It matches the Rfam family "Bacterial small subunit ribosomal RNA", at positions 338 to 795 of the family's 1533-position model. The record is from RNAcentral.
CCUACGGGGUGCAGCAGUGAGGAAUAUUGGUCAAUGGACGAGAGUCUGAACCAGCCAAGUAGCGUGAAGGAUGACUGCCCUAUGGGUUGUAAACUUCUUUUAUAUGGGAAUAAAAUGUUCCACGUGUGGGAUUUUGUAUGUACCAUAUGAAUAAGGAUCGGCUAACUCCGUGCCAGCAGCCGCGGUAAUACGGAGGAUCCGAGCGUUAUCCGGAUUUAUUGGGUUUAAAGGGAGCGUAGGUGGAUUGUUAAGUCAGUUGUGAAAGUUUGCGGCUCAACCGUAAAAUUGCAUUUGAAACUGGCAGUCUUGAGUACAGUAGAGGUGGGCGGAAUUCGUGGUGUAGCGGUGAAAUGCUUAGAUAUCACGAAGAACUCCGAUUGCGAAGGCAGUUCACUGGACUGCAACUGACACUGAGGCUCGAAAGUGUGGGUAUCAAACAGGAUUAGAUACCCGUGUAGUC